AUGAUGUAUGAGGCGUACGAUAUCAACGGCUACACAUUCUACACCGAGGGAAAGGACAUGAAGAGCGAUGGUUAUCAGAACUUCGGGGUAACGAUGGAAUCCUACACCGGUAACGACAAGGACAGAUACUAUGGAAGGAUCGAGGAGAUCUGGGAGCUGAGCUACGCUGGACAGAAGGUCCCGAUGUUCUGUGUCAGAUGGGCCAAGAGCGUCAUAAAAGAAGACCGGUAUUUCACCACCAUGGUUAUACCCGAAGCCAAAUCCAAGACCGCAGGCGCAAACGUCACCGCGAAAAAUGAGCCAUGGGUACUGGCUUCCCAAGUGGACCAAUGCUUCUUCAUUACCUACCCGUCAAAGCCCAGUCGUCUUGUCGUGAGGAGAGGCAAAAGGAAGAUCAUCGGAAUGGAUCGAGUCGCCAAUGAGCAAGACUUCGACAAGUACGGUGACCCGAAGAUGGAACAUGACGACGACGAUGAAGUACCAGCAUACACCACAAGAAGCAGGACCACCCUACCUAAAGGACGUCCGUUCAAGAGAAGAACUCCAAUUACGAAAAAUAAGGGCAAGAAGAUUGUGAACAGAUAG
Molecule: ribosomal RNA, 585 nt
Filed under: Triticum aestivum (bread wheat)
Lineage: Eukaryota; Viridiplantae; Streptophyta; Magnoliopsida; Poales; Poaceae
Description: partial small subunit ribosomal RNA
Source: RNAcentral